UGGGGAAUUUUGCACAAUGGGGGAAACCCUGAUGCAGCGACGCCGCGUGAUUUAGAAGGCCUUCGGGUUGUAAAAAUCUUUUCUAUGGGAAGAACAUGACAGUACCAUAGGAAUAAGGACCGGCUAAUUACGUGCCAGCAGCCGCGGUAAUACGUAAGGUCCGAGCGUUGUCCGGAAUCAUUGGGCGUAAAGGGUACGUAGGCGGGUAAGCAAGUUAGAAGUGAAAUCCUAUAGCUCAACUAUAGUAAGCUUUUAAAACUGCUCAUCUAGAGGUAUGGAAGGGAAAGUGGAAUUCCUAGUGUAGCGGUGAAAUGCGCAGAUAUUAGGAGGAAUACCGGUGGCGAAGGCGACUUUCUGGCCAUAACCUGACGCUGAGGUACGAAAGCGUGGGUAGCAAACAGG
This 402-nucleotide ribosomal RNA is filed under the name bacterium. Its description in RNAcentral is "partial 16S ribosomal RNA". It matches the Rfam family "Bacterial small subunit ribosomal RNA", at positions 355 to 776 of the family's 1533-position model. The record is from RNAcentral.